Molecule: ribosomal RNA, 617 nt
Filed under: Bacillus cereus
Lineage: Bacteria; Bacillati; Bacillota; Bacilli; Caryophanales; Bacillaceae
Description: bacterial SSU rRNA
Rfam family: Bacterial small subunit ribosomal RNA
Source: RNAcentral
GCAAGUCGAGCGAAUGGAUUAAGAGCUUGCUCUUAUGAAGUUAGCGGCGGACGGGUGAGUAACACGUGGGUAACCUGCCCAUAAGACUGGGAUAACUCCGGGAAACCGGGGCUAAUACCGGAUAACAUUUUGAACUGCAUGGUUCGAAAUUGAAAGGCGGCUUCGGCUGUCACUUAUGGAUGGACCCGCGUCGCAUUAGCUAGUUGGUGAGGUAACGGCUCACCAAGGCAACAAUGCGUAGCCACCCGGAGAGGGUAAUCGGCCACACUGGGACGGAGCCACGGCCCAGACUCUUACGGAGGGCAGCAGUGGGGAAUCUUCCGCAAUGGACGAAAGUUUGACGGAGCAACCCCGCGUGAGUAAUGAAGGCUUUCGGGUCGUAAAACUCUGUUGUUAGGAAAAAACAAGUGCUAGUUGAAUAAGCUGGCACCUUGAGGGUACCAAACCAGAAAGCCACGGCUAACUACGUGCCAGCAGCCGGGGAAAUACGGAGGGGGCAAGCGUUAUCCGGAAUUAUUGCGGUGUAGAGCGCGCGCAGGUGGUUUCUUGAGUCUUAUGUCAAAGCCCACGUCUCAACCGGGGAGGGUCAUUGGAAACUGGGGAGACUUGAGUGCAGA